This is a non-coding RNA of Oryza nivara, 211 nucleotides long. The record is from Rfam. Lineage: Eukaryota; Viridiplantae; Streptophyta; Magnoliopsida; Poales; Poaceae.
AAUAAGUGUAGUUCUUACACUGUUCAUGUCCAACGUGUGACCGUUCGUCUUAUUUGAAAUUCUUUUAUGAUUAGUAUUUUUAUUAUUAUUAGAUGAUAAAACAUGAAUAGUACUUUAUGUGCGACUAAUUAUUUUUAAUUAUUUCUCAUAUUUUUUUUAAAUAAGACGAACAGUUAAACGUUUGACACGAAUACCCACAGCUGCACUAAUU